GUCAGUCUACAUAUUGAGUUCAAUCAUAAUCUUAGAUUAAUGAAUUAGUUUCCCAUUAAGUCACACAUUAUCAUCAAAUAAAAUUUAAACAUUAAAAAUAAAACCAAGAGAAUAAGAGAAUAAAAAAAUAAAAAAAACUCAAAAAUUGUAUUCUUGAUCUCCAAAACUCCUUGAAUCCUUCAAAUUCUUCUUAGCUUCAAUGACUCUGUGACUUAACUUUCAGCUCUCAAUCUGGUAUUUCG
This 242-nucleotide long non-coding RNA is filed under the name Theobroma cacao (cacao). Its description in RNAcentral is "long non-coding RNA (TCAC_LNC001181)". Lineage: Eukaryota; Viridiplantae; Streptophyta; Magnoliopsida; Malvales; Malvaceae. The record is from RNAcentral.